CAUCCUCCAAGGCUAAAUACUCCUGACUGACCGAUAGUGAACCAGUACCGUGAGGGAAAGGCGAAAAGAACCCCGGCGAGGGGAGUGAAAAAGAACCUGAAACCGUGUACGUACAAGCAGUGGGAGCACCCUUCGGGGUGUGACUGCGUACCUUUUGUAUAAUGGGUCAGCGACUUAUAUUCUGUAGCAAGGUUAACCGUAUAGGGGAGCCGUAGGGAAACCGAGUCUUAACCGGGCGUUAAGUUGCAGGGUAUAGACCCGAAACCCGGUGAUCUAGCCAUGGGCAGGUUGAAGGUUGGGUAACACUAACUGGAGGACCGAACCGACUAAUGUUGAAAAAUUAGCGGAUGACCUGUGGCUGGGGGUGAAAGGCCAAUCAAACCGGGAGAUAGCUGGUUCUCCCCGAAAGCUAUUUAGGUAGCGCCUCGUGAAUUCAUCUCCGGGGGUAGAGCACUGUUUCGGCUAGGGGGCCAUCCCGGCUUACCAACCCGAUGCAAACUGCGAAUACCGGAGAAUGUUAUCACGGGAGACACACGGCGGGUGCUAACGUCCGUCGUGAAGAGGGAAACAACCCAGACCGCCAGCUAAGGUCCCAAAGUCAUGGUUAAGUGGGAAACGAUGUGGGAAGGCCCAGACAGCCAGGAUGUUGGCUUAGAAGCAGCCAUCAUUUAAAGAAAGCGUAAUAGCUCACUGGUCGAGUCGGCCUGCGCGGAAGAUGUAACGGGGCUAAACCAUGCACCGAAGCUGCGGCAGCGAACGUAUCACCCAAGACAACUUUACGGAGUUGACGAUUGACGGAGCGAAGCGACGUCAAAGCGUUCAUUAAAGUCGAGUUGGCUUAGGGAUACGUUCGUUGGGUAGGGGAGCGUUCUGUAAGCCUGUGAAGGUGUGUCGUGAGGCAUGCUGGAGGUAUCAGAAGUGCGAAUGCUGACAUAAGUAACGAUAAAGCGGGUGAAAAGCCCGCUCGCCGGAAGACCAAGGGUUCCUGUCCAACGUUAAUCGGGGCAGGGUGAGUCGACCCCUAAGGC
This 1028-nucleotide ribosomal RNA is filed under the name Salmonella enterica subsp. enterica serovar Typhimurium. Its description in RNAcentral is "partial 23S ribosomal RNA". It matches the Rfam family "Bacterial large subunit ribosomal RNA", at positions 454 to 1397 of the family's 2925-position model. Lineage: Bacteria; Pseudomonadati; Pseudomonadota; Gammaproteobacteria; Enterobacterales; Enterobacteriaceae. The record is from RNAcentral.